CCUACGGGAGGCAGCAGUGGGGAAUUUUGGACAAUGGGCGAAAGCCUGAUCCAGCAAUGCCGCGUGCAGGAAGAAGGCCUUCGGGUUGUAAACUGCUUUUGUACGGAACGAAACGGUCUGCUUUAAUACAGUGGGCUAAUGACGGUACCGUAAGAAUAAGCACCGGCUAACUACGUGCCAGCAGCCGCGGUAAUACGUAGGGUGCGAGCGUUAAUCGGAAUUACUGGGCGUAAAGCGUGCGCAGGCGGUUAUAUAAGACAGUUGUGAAAUCCCCGGGCUCAACCUGGGAAUUGCAUCUGUGACUGUAUAGCUAGAGUACGGUAGAGGGGGGAUGGAAUUCCGCGUGUAGCAGUGAAAUGCGUAGAUAUGCGGAGGAACACCGAUGGCGAAGGCAAUCCCCUGGACCUGUACUGACGCUCAUGCACGAAAGCGUGGGGAGCAAACAGGAUUAGAUACCCUGGUAGUCCACGCCCUAAACGAUGUCAACUGGUUGUUGGGUGCAUUAGUACUCAGUAACGAAGCUAACGCGUGAAGUUGACCGCCUGGGGAGGUACGGCCGCGAGUAGUAACGUAAAGAAGUAGAGCGUGAGAGAGCGACGACGACGACGAGGGAGGAGG
RNAcentral lists this ribosomal RNA (618 nucleotides) under uncultured bacterium. Its description in RNAcentral is "bacterial SSU rRNA". The stretch from base 1 to 543 matches the Rfam family "Bacterial small subunit ribosomal RNA", at positions 338 to 873 of the family's 1533-position model. The record is from RNAcentral.